This is an RNA transcript of Poeciliopsis prolifica (blackstripe livebearer), 3088 nucleotides long. It is a transcript of the gene named protein tweety homolog 2-like, with no coding region annotated. The record is from RefSeq and is a predicted model, not a curated record. The transcript is spliced from 14 exons. NCBI's taxonomy places the organism in Eukaryota, Metazoa, Chordata, Actinopteri, Cyprinodontiformes, Poeciliidae.
UCAACUGCAGGCAAAAGUUUUCCAGGCCGCUCAUAGCAAAACGCCUCAUUUCUUUUCAUAACUCGCUUUCAGACGAGCACAGUCGAGCUUCCCCAGUGUGAAGACACAGUUGAGAGAUAAAGCGGGCCAGGCCAAGCACACAGGGCUUGAUAAAGAUGUUGUGAUUUUUUUUUUAAUCGCUUUAAAUUUGCUCAAAAUUGUGGCUGAAGUUCACUUUUUUUCCCUCCUUCUUCUUCUUCGUUUUAAAAGGGCAAGAUGUUCGCGGGGUUGGUUUGCUAUUCUCUUCCUGUUUUUUACGGGUGCAGUAAAGACGUUCCGGCCGCAGGACUCAAGUUGUUGUCACGCCUUCCACGGACAAGGAGGCAGGUUCACACAACCCGCGAUCUCGGGAUGUAAAUUUACUCUUUGUACUGAUGUUUUGCAGCCAUGGGGACAGCAACGGGACUCAGAUACUGUUAUCUACACUUUUUCAAAGUUGUAGCAAAUAGAAUAUUUUCCUCCUAAUUAUCUGCGACAGCUUUUCAACAAACCUACUUUUUCUUUUUCUUUUUUUUUCUCCCCCUUCUGUUACCCAAAACCAAUGAACAUCUGAGAGUCCAAGAGAGAAACUUGUUUCACAGCUUUGUUGGAUUGACUCUUCAAGCAGUAAUGGCCAUUGCCCGGCUUGAUUAUGUGGCUCCGUGGUGGACAUACUGGCUGCACAAUUUCCCACACUUCAAUUUUCUCUUCCAGUCGGUCGACAACGCUUUCAGACCGGAGGAAGCGAGCUAUCAGCAGUCUCUAACAGUUUUGGCUUGUGCUGGUGCUAUCGGACUCGCUCUGAGCCUCCUAAUUCUGGCCGUGUACUUGGUGUGUCUAUUCUGCUGCCGUCGGAGCCUGGAUGAAGAAACCAAACGGCCCGACACCUGUUGUGUCACGUGGGUCGCAGUUAUUACGGGUCUCAUAAUAUGUUCUGCUGUAGGCGUGGGUUUCUAUGGGAACAGCGAGACCAACGAUGGGGUCUACCAACUGACCUACUCCCUCUACCAUGCCAAUCACACUCUGGAUAGUAUCAACAGUCUGGUUGAAGGAGCUCGAAGCAAUGUGGAAGCUGGACUUAAACAGCACCUAGAAAGGCUGGAUGAGAUCUUUGCCACAAAGAUUGAGUAUCUCCAGGCUCUGCGCUUCCUGCAACUAAUGGUCAACAACAUUAUCCGCGAGCUGACGGCUCUGCCAGACAUCAACAAGUCCGAGAUUGACUUGGCAGCCAUUGCAGACCAGACUGCUUUCAUUGAGUAUUACAGAUGGCUGACUUACCUCCUGCUGCUGAUCCUUGACCUGGUCAUCUGCUUGGUCAUGUGCUUGGGAAUAGCAAAACAGUCUCAAUGUCUGCUGAUCACGAUCAUUGGUUUUGUGAUACUAUCCUUGGUUCUAAGCUGGGCUGCACUAGGAAGUGGCACCGCAACAGCUGUGGGCACAAGCGACUUCUGUGUGUCUCCAAAUAAAUUCAUUGUUAACCAAACCAAGGAUUUCCUCACUGCAGAUGUUGCACACUAUUAUUUGUUCUGCAGUCCGAAUCUGCAAAACCCCUUCCAGCAGUCGCUAACAAUCUGCCAGCGUUCUCUGACCACAAUGCAAAUCCAGAUCCAGGGCCUGCUGCAGUUCUCUAUGGCCAUUUUCCCCACAGCUCAGAGAGACCUUUUAGGGAUCCAGAGGCUGUUAAACUCCACAGAGUUCAAUGUUCACCAGUUAACAGCCUUGCUUGACUGCCGCGGGAUACAUAAGGACUACCUGGAUGCCCUCAUGGGUGUGUGCUAUGACGGCGUGGAGGGGCUCCUCUAUCUCUCUUUGUUUUCUCUUCUGGCUGCCUGCGCACUCUCUGCCAUGCUGUGUGUAAUUUUCCGACUGUGGACAUUAAUGGGCAGCAGGGAGAAGGAGUACAACGACAUCGAUGAGGAAGACCCGUUCAACCCACAGGCGCGCCGGCUGUCGUUUAACCCCAGAAGGUCCAACACACACAGUUUCUGCAGCUACAUCAGCAGCCUUGGCAGCCAGGCCAGCCUUCAUCCUCCUCCUCAGUCUCAGUCUAAUUCCACCAUACAACCUCCUGAAUAUAUGAAUCAGUCCAUGCUGUUCGGAGGAACCCCUCGAUAUGAAAACGUUCCUCUCAUAGGGGGAGGAUCUCCGCCUCCUUCGGUUCGUUGGCCUUAUGGGGCUCUAGUGACCGUAGUCUGAUAAUGAUAUGCAACAGCAUGCAGAAAGUUAUGCAGAAUGUUAUAAUGCAAAACAGAAGUUCUCAAGAAACUUCUGUUCCAAUUUAAGUGACUGAAGAGGGACAUCUGAUGGCCAUAUGUAGAAGUGCAUCUCCUUUGUGGAUCUUUCUUCUUGUUUGCUAUUGAUAUGUUUUGAUUUUUUAUUACAAGAUAGUAGUAAUUCAUUCUUUAGUUAAUGCUAAACAUUUCCUCAUAUGUGAGCUGGUUAAGCACCAUGUGUUUUGCUUCAGUUUAGUAAAGCUCACUUAAUUGUAGCAUAGUAUGUGUUUUGUCUCCAGAGUUUAGUGAUAAAUAAUAGAUAAAAGAUGGAAGACAGAUAAAUCCACAGUCCACAUCUUGGCUUUGUGAUGUUUUCUUCCUGCUAAGAUUUCUUGCUUCUGUGGCUUGAGCAGCUUUCACAGCAUACCAAAGACUAAAAACACCUUUUGUGUGGGUGAAGGCAAGCAAGAAUCUGAAUCAUUGUCUAAAAUGUUGCUAUGCAAGGCACAUUUUUAUCAGUUAGCGAUAUCUCUGCUUUCUGUCUGCUCAUAACAGAGAAGUUGGAAGCUUUAAUAAAACACAUGCUAAAUAAGAACUUGAGUUUGCCUACAUUUGUAGUUAUGAUUUGGAUUAUUUUUUCUUUUGGUUUUGCUUUCCUACAUUUUGCUUUUUUAAUUUUCAUGCAAGCAGUUUAUCAGUGGCAUGUCUAACAGCUCUGUGAAAAACUAUUUUCUUUUUUACUCCUCAACUCAGACUUUGACAACUUAUUCACCCAGUAUGAGGACCACAUACCUGUCCAUAACUGAUGCCCAAAUCAGACACUUGAGGACUGACUUCCAGGUGUAAGCUGCUGCCUG